This 758-nucleotide ribosomal RNA is filed under the name uncultured bacterium. RNAcentral describes it as "bacterial SSU rRNA". It matches the Rfam family "Bacterial small subunit ribosomal RNA", at positions 94 to 863 of the family's 1533-position model. The record is from RNAcentral.
AGUGGCGAAAGGGUGAGUAAUACGUGGGCAACCUACCCAUAGGACUGGGACAACCUCGCGAAAGCGGGGCUAAUACCAGAUGUUGUCACAGAGACCACGGUUUUUGUGAUGAAAGGAGCAAUCCGCCUAUAGAGGGGCCCGCGGCCUAUCAGCUAGUUGGUGAGGUAACGGCCCACCAAGGCUAAGACGGGUAGCUGGCGUGAGAGCGCGACCAGCCACACUGGAACUGAGAUACGGUCCAGACUCCUACGGGAGGCAGCAGUCGGGAAUUUUGGACAAUGGGCGAAAGCCUGAUCCAGCGACGCCGCGUGCGGGAAGACGUCCUUCGGGAUGUAAACCGCUGUCGGAUGGGACGAACACAAUGACGGUACCAUCGGAGGAAGCACCGGCUAACUCUGUGCCAGCAGCCGCGGUAAGACAGAGGGUGCAAGCGUUGUCCGGAUUGACUGGGUGUAAAGGGCGUGUAGGCGGCCGAGUAAGUCUGACGUGAAAACAUCACCGCUCAACGGGAUGUACGCGUUGGAAACUGUUCGGCUUGAGUACAGGGGGGGUUAACGGAAUUCCAGGUGUAGCGGUGGAAUGUGUAGAUAUCUGGAGGAACACCGGUGGCGAAAGCGGUUAACUGGCCUGUGACUGACGCUGAGGCGCGAAAGCCAGGGGAGCAAACGGGAUUAGAUACCCCGGUAGUCCUGGCCGUAAACGAUGGAUACUAGGUGUGGGAGGUAUCGACCCCUUCCGUGCCGCAGUUAACGCAUUAA